This 408-nucleotide RNase P RNA is filed under the name Bacteroidales bacterium. RNAcentral describes it as "RNase P RNA component class A". It matches the Rfam family "Bacterial RNase P class A". Rfam says of the family: Ribonuclease P (RNase P) is a ubiquitous endoribonuclease, found in archaea, bacteria and eukarya as well as chloroplasts and mitochondria. Its best characterised activity is the generation of mature 5'-ends of tRNAs by cleaving the 5'-leader elements of precursor-tRNAs. The record is from RNAcentral. Lineage: Bacteria; Pseudomonadati; Bacteroidota; Bacteroidia; Bacteroidales.
CCAGCAGUUCGUUCUGUCGCUCCGGGAAAAAGGAUCCUCUGGACCUUUUCCCGGGGAGGAAAGUCGGGACAACACAGAGCACCAUGCUUCCUAACUGGAAGGUCCCGCCCCGGGCGGGAACAGCAAGUGCCGCAGAAAAAUACCGCCUGUAAGGGCGACCCGCAGGGGCGCCCUUCCAGGUAAGGGUGAAAACGUGGUGUAAGAGACCACGUCCCUGCAGGGUGACCGGCAGGGAGGGUAAACCUCAUGGGUUGAAAGACCAUGUACAUCCUGCUGACUCAAGUCACCCGGCUGCUCGCCGGGGCCGCAAGGCGACAGGAGGGGUAGGUCGCAUAAACCGGCUGGUGACAACCGGUUAAGAUAAAUGACAGAUUAAAACAGAAUCCUGCUUACUGAACUGCUGUUUUU